This is a small nucleolar RNA of Neomonachus schauinslandi (Hawaiian monk seal), 84 nucleotides long. RefSeq annotates it as small nucleolar RNA SNORA1. The transcript has a single exon. NCBI's taxonomy places the organism in Eukaryota, Metazoa, Chordata, Mammalia, Carnivora, Phocidae. The record is from RefSeq and is a predicted model, not a curated record.
UGACCUAUGACUACACUGAGACACAGGUUAUGCUUCCAUCACAGCAAAUUUAUUGCAGUGGUAACAAUGAGACCUGUAAUAUUU